UAAACUGGAGAGUUUGAUCCUGGCUCAGAACGAACGCUGGCGGCGUGCCUAACACAUGCAAGUCGUACGAGAAA
RNAcentral lists this ribosomal RNA (74 nucleotides) under Deltaproteobacteria bacterium. RNAcentral's name for it is "partial 16S ribosomal RNA". It matches the Rfam family "Bacterial small subunit ribosomal RNA", at positions 1 to 73 of the family's 1533-position model. Lineage: Bacteria; Pseudomonadati; Myxococcota; Myxococcia. The record is from RNAcentral.